This 429-nucleotide ribosomal RNA is filed under the name Verrucomicrobiota bacterium. RNAcentral describes it as "Verrucomicrobia bacterium partial 16S ribosomal RNA". It matches the Rfam family "Bacterial small subunit ribosomal RNA", at positions 355 to 776 of the family's 1533-position model. The record is from RNAcentral. Lineage: Bacteria; Pseudomonadati; Verrucomicrobiota.
UAGGGAAUCUUCGGCAAUGGGGGGAACCCUGACCGAGCAACGCCGAGUGAGUGAAGAAGGUUUUCGGAUCGUAAAGCUCUGUUGUUAAGGAAGAACGAGUGUGAGAAUGGAAAGUUCAUGCUGUGACGGUACUUAACCAGAAAGGGACGGCUAACUACGUGCCAGCAGCCGCGGUAAUACGUAGGUCCCGAGCGUUGUCCGGAUUUAUUGGGCGUAAAGCGAGCGCAGGCGGUUAGAAAAGUCUGAAGUGAAAGGCAGUGGCUCAACCAUUGUAGGCUUUGGAAACUGUUUAACUUGAGUGCAGAAGGGGAGAGUGGAAUUCCAUGUGUAGCGGUGAAAUGCGUAGAUAUAUGGAGGAACACCGGUGGCGAAAGCGGCUCUCUGGUCUGUAACUGACGCUGAGGCUCGAAAGCGUGGGGAGCGAACAGG